UACAGAGACUGCAAGCGUUAUUCGGAUUCACUGGGCGUAAAGGGUGCGCAGGCGGCGCGGUAAGUCGGGUGUGAAAUCUUGGAGCUUAACUCCGAAACUGCAUUCGAUACUGCCGUGCUUGAGGACUGGAGAGGAGACUGGAAUUUACGGUGUAGCGGUGAAAUGCGUAGAUAUCGUAAGGAAGACCAGUGGCGAAGGCGGGUCUCUGGACAGUUCCUGACGCUGAGGCACGAAGGCCAGGGGAGCAAACGGG
RNAcentral lists this ribosomal RNA (253 nucleotides) under uncultured bacterium. Its description in RNAcentral is "partial 16S ribosomal RNA". It matches the Rfam family "Bacterial small subunit ribosomal RNA", at positions 524 to 776 of the family's 1533-position model. The record is from RNAcentral.